Molecule: unclassified non-coding RNA, 141 nt
Filed under: Populus trichocarpa (black cottonwood)
Lineage: Eukaryota; Viridiplantae; Streptophyta; Magnoliopsida; Malpighiales; Salicaceae
Description: precursor microRNA ptr-MIR481d
Source: RNAcentral
GGCAGUCAAAGAGGGGGCAAGGAAAGGGGAGAAUUAUGUUACUGUCACUUGGCUGUUAUUCGUAGAACUAGAAUGACAUUGAGGGUGUUAGAGAAUAAUAUAAAUCAUAUUCUAAGACCUCACCUAACAGCUUAAGCUAUU